Molecule: ribosomal RNA, 456 nt
Filed under: uncultured bacterium
Lineage: Bacteria
Description: bacterial SSU rRNA
Rfam family: Bacterial small subunit ribosomal RNA
Source: RNAcentral
GCACAAGCGGUGGAGCAUGUGGUUCAAUUCGACGCAACGCGAAGAACCUUACCUGGGCUAGACAACGGCGGACAGCCCUAGAAAUAGGGUCUUCCCUUCGGGGACCGCCGGUUCAGGUGCUGCAUGGCUGUCGUCAGCUCGUGCCGUGAGGUGUUGGGUUAAGUCCCGCAACGAGCGCAACCCUCGUCCUUAGUUGCCACCAUUCAGUUGGGCACUCUAGGGAGACUGCCGGCGUUAAGCCGGAGGAAGGUGGGGACGACGUCAAGUCAUCAUGGCCCUUAUGUCCAGGGCCACACACGUGCUACAAUGGGCGGUACAAAGGGUCGCAAACCCGCGAGGGGGAGCCAAUCCCAAAAAGCCGCUCUCAGUUCGGAUUGGAGUCUGCAACUCGACUCCAUGAAGUUGGAAUCGCUAGUAAUCGCGGAUCAGCACGCCGCGGUGAAUACGUUCCCGGGC